RNAcentral lists this ribosomal RNA (253 nucleotides) under uncultured bacterium. RNAcentral's name for it is "partial 16S ribosomal RNA". It matches the Rfam family "Bacterial small subunit ribosomal RNA", at positions 524 to 776 of the family's 1533-position model. The record is from RNAcentral.
GACGGAAGGUGCAAGCGUUACUCGGAAUCACUGGGCGUAAAGGGUGCGUAGGCGGCCGUGCAAGUCUGGCGUGAAAGCCCCGGGCUCAGCCCGGGAAGUGCGCUCGAAACUGCGCGGCUCGAGUGCCGGAGGGGAGAGUGGAAUUCCUGGUGUAGCGGUGAAAUGCGUAGAUAUCAGGAGGAAUACCGGUGGCGAAAGCGGCGUGCUGGACCUUUUCUGACGCUGAGGCGCGAAAGCUAGGGGAGCAAACGGG